Molecule: long non-coding RNA, 280 nt
Filed under: Nicotiana benthamiana
Lineage: Eukaryota; Viridiplantae; Streptophyta; Magnoliopsida; Solanales; Solanaceae
Description: long non-coding RNA (NBEN_LNC032639)
Source: RNAcentral
UUUCAAUAAAGAAUUAAUUUGGAGCUCAUUUGCUUAAUAUGGUACCGUUUAUGUCCAAAGAAACAAUGUUGAAACAUCAAAUAAGAGCGCGAUACAACCCGAAACAGACCCGAGGCCCCCGAGACCCCGUCCUAUCAAACCAACCCACUCCAUAACAUAACACAGAGCUGCUCGAGGACUCAAAUAAUACAAAAUAACAUCCAGACUACUAAUUGCACAUCGAUUCAAGCAUAAUGAACUAUUGAUUUCUAACUUCUACAUCCGAUGCCGAAACUUAUCA